GCGUGAGAAUCUGCCCUCAGGAGGGGGAUAACGGCUGGAAACGGCCGCUAAUACCCCAUAUGCCGAGAGGUGAAAUGAGUUUCGCCUGAGGAUGAGCUCGCGUCUGAUUAGCUAGUUGGUGGGGUAAAGGCCUACCAAGGCUUCGAUCAGUAGCUGGUCUGAGAGGAUGAUCAGCCACACUGGGACUGAGACACGGCCCAGACUCCUACGGGAGGCAGCAGUGGGGAAUUUUCCGCAAUGGGCGAAAGCCUGACGGAGCAACGCCGCGUGAGGGAUGAAGGCCUCUGGGCUGUAAACCUCUUUUCUCAAGGAAGAAGAACUGACGGUACUUGAGGAAUAAGCCACGGCUAAUUCCGUGCCAGCAGCCGCGGUAAUACGGGAGUGGCAAGCGUUAUCCGGAAUUAUUGGGCGUAAAGCGUCCGCAGGCGGCCUCGUAAGUCUGUCGUUAAAGCGUGGAGCUUAACUCCAUUUCAGCGAUGGAAAACUGUGAGGCUUGAGUGUGNUAGGG
RNAcentral lists this ribosomal RNA (508 nucleotides) under uncultured cyanobacterium. RNAcentral describes it as "bacterial SSU rRNA". It matches the Rfam family "Bacterial small subunit ribosomal RNA", at positions 115 to 656 of the family's 1533-position model. The record is from RNAcentral. Lineage: Bacteria; Bacillati; Cyanobacteriota.